This 253-nucleotide ribosomal RNA is filed under the name uncultured bacterium. Its description in RNAcentral is "partial 16S ribosomal RNA". It matches the Rfam family "Bacterial small subunit ribosomal RNA", at positions 524 to 776 of the family's 1533-position model. The record is from RNAcentral.
UACGUAGGGUCCGAGCGUUGUCCGGAAUUACUGGGCGUAAAGAGCUCGUAGGCGGUUUGUCGCGUUGUUCGUGAAAACUCACAGCUCAACUGUGGGCGUGCGGGCGAUACGGGCAGACUUGAGUACUGCAGGGGAGACUGGAAUUCCUGGUGUAGCGGUGGAAUGCGCAGAUAUCAGGAGGAACACCGGUGGCGAAGGCGGGUCUCUGGGCAGUAACUGACGCUGAGGAGCGAAAGCGUGGGGAGCAAACAGG